This 253-nucleotide ribosomal RNA is filed under the name uncultured Tumebacillus sp. RNAcentral's name for it is "partial 16S ribosomal RNA". It matches the Rfam family "Bacterial small subunit ribosomal RNA", at positions 524 to 776 of the family's 1533-position model. Lineage: Bacteria; Bacillati; Bacillota; Bacilli; Caryophanales; Alicyclobacillaceae. The record is from RNAcentral.
UACGUAGGGGGCAAGCGUUGUCCGGAAUGACUGGGCGUAAAGCGCGCGCAGGCGGUUUUUCACGUCUGAGGUGAAAGCCCGGGGCUUAACCCUGGGAUUGCCUUGGAAACGGGGAGACUUGAGGGUCGGAGAGGUCAGGGGAAUUCCACGUGUAGCGGUGAAAUGCGUAGAGAUGUGGAGGAAUACCAGUGGCGAAGGCGCCUGACUGGACGAAACCUGACGCUGAGAGACGAAAGCGUGGGGAGCAAACAGG